Molecule: long non-coding RNA, 380 nt
Organism: Cyprinus carpio carpio
Lineage: Eukaryota; Metazoa; Chordata; Actinopteri; Cypriniformes; Cyprinidae
Source: Ensembl
CACUGAUCAAAACCACAUGUUGGAAGACUGAAAUCUGCAAAGUGACCUCUGUCAGAGGUGAACUAAAAACGGCCCGAGGGAAAGGAUGCAGAGACCAGCUCAUCACCACAAAACAACAGCUCAACUAAUGCCAGACCUCAGGAUGCACGUGUAGAGCAUGUGCCAUGUGACCUUGCACAGCUCCAUGCUGACAGCAUCAAAGAUGUUACUGUCCAUAUGAUAUCAGCAGAUGGGUUUUUCAUCGCUACCAUGCCAGACAUCAUUACCCCUUAACAACUCUUAUUAAAAAUGAACUGACCCGUCUACGUGUGUGAAUUCAGGCUGAAUCAGGUUUUAAUAUUUAAGUUUCAGCUGAAUGCAACUGACUGGUAAUUAAACAU